UACCUCGCUACAUGGAUAACCGUGGUAAUUCUAGAGCUAAUACAUGCCAAAAGCCCCGACUCCGGGAGGGGCGUAUUUAUUAGAUACAAAACCAACGCCCCUCGGGGCUCGAUGGUGAUUCAUGAUAACUGCACGAAUCGCAUGGCCUUGCGCCGGCGAUGGUUCAUUCAAAUUUCUGCCCUAUCAACUGUCGAUGAUAGGAUAGUGGCCUACCAUGGUCGCAACGGGUAACGGGGAAUUAGGGUUCUAUUCCGGAGAGGGAGCCUGAGAAACGGCUACCACAUCCAAGGAAGGCAGCAGGCGCGCAAAUUACCCAAUCCCGACGCGGGGAGGUAGUGACAAUAAAUACUGAUGCAGGGCUCUUUUGGGUCUUGCAAUCGGAAUGGGUACAAUUUAAAUCCCUUAACGAGGAACAAUUGGAGGGCAAGUCUGGUGCCAGCAGCCGCGGUAAUUCCAGCUCCAAUAGCGUAUAUUAAAGUUGUUGCAGUUAAAAAGCUCGUAGUUGAACCUUGGGCCUGGCUGGCCGGUCCGCCUCACCGCGUGCACUGGUCCGGCCGGGCCUUUCCUCCCGGGGAGCCGCAUGCCCUUCGCUGGGCGUGCCGGGGAUCCGGGACUUUUACUUUGAAAAAAUUAGAGUGUUCAAAGCAGGCCUAUGCUCGGAUACAUUAGCAUGGAAUAAUGGAAUAGGACGCGCGGUCCUAUUUUGUUGGUUUCUAGGACCGCCGUAAUGAUUAAUGGGGAUGGUCGGGGGCAUCCGUAUUCAGCUGUCAGAGGUGAAAUUCUUGGAUUUGCUGAAGACGAACUACUGCGAAAGCAUUUGCCAAGGAUGUUUUCAUUAAUCAGGGAACGAAAGUUAGGGGAUCGAAGACGAUCAGAGGGGUGUCCGGUCGUCCACAGCACAAGCUAGUCCUUCGGGGCAACACCGUCUAGUUGAGGAGUCCCCGUUUCCGGGUCAUCUACAGCCAAGUUCAAGUCUCAACGAUCCCGUUGGACGAGAAUGCAGUCUACAGACUGUUUGAUGGUGGGCCAGCUCUAUCACCGAUAGGUUCUGGUUUAAGAUAUAGUCGGUCCGAUAUGCAACCAUAUCGUGAGCACACGCAGAUACCGUCGUAGUCUUAACCAUAAACUAUGCCGACUAGGGAUCGGACGGUGUUUUUUAUAUGACCCGUUCGGCACCUUACGAGAAAUCAAAGUUUUUGGGCUCUGGGGGGAGUAUGGUCGCAAGGCUGAAACUUAAAGAAAUUGACGGAAGGGCACCACAAGGCGUGGAGCCUGCGGCUUAAUUUGACUCAACACGGGGAAACUCACCAGGUUAACCUUUGACCGUUACGUGUCUGGGCUUGGUCCUGAUAGUACUGACUUGAUCAGUGCAACACCAGCUGCUACAGGGAACGCUUCCGGGCCGAUCCUGUAGCGAGUCUACCGGUUGGUAGACCGUUGCAACGCACAGCAAGCGGUGGGCUGCUCCGAGGUUAUUCUUCGGCGGCUAUGGUAUGUGCUAACUCCAUGGUUCUCGCCAUGUCUUUCUGCUACAACGGCAGAGGGGAUCUUCUGUCAUCAGAAGCUGAUUCUGGAGCCAGACAUAAGAAGGAUUGACAGAUUGAGAGCUCUUUCUUGAUUUUAUGGGUGGUGGUAAACGUCCUUGUGCCACCUACAGCGAUACGGGUAACCCACCGUUGAAAUAUAGCUAGUCCACCUCGGUGGGCGACAUUCUUCUGUUGCUGAAAACUGUUCCUUCGGGUCAUGAUCAGCAGCUAUGCGUUCGGUUGAACGGGUAGUUCACAGACUAGGUAAGAAUGGACUGAUGGUUGUUUAGUUAGAGAUAUAGUCGAACCCAAUAUGUAGAUGUAUUCGGUAUGAGUGGCAUGGCCGUUCUUAGUUGGUGGAGUGAUUUGUCUGCUUAAUUU
This 1907-nucleotide ribosomal RNA is filed under the name Lichinella nigritella. RNAcentral describes it as "SSU rRNA". It matches the Rfam family "Eukaryotic small subunit ribosomal RNA", at positions 128 to 1325 of the family's 1831-position model. The record is from RNAcentral. Lineage: Eukaryota; Fungi; Ascomycota; Lichinomycetes; Lichinales; Lichinellaceae.